UUUAAAUCUAUUUGCGAUUAAUUAGAAGGUACGAAAAUUCGAAUAUUUAGAAUAAAUGUUUCGAAAGUAUGUCGACGUCUGCACACACCGGGAUCUAAACGCACAAUGACCAAUAGUCAAUACACACAAGAACGACUCGAACGGAUAUUGUUUAUUUUUCAGCUGUUUUCUUGAUUAAACCUCGCUCGUUAUAACGCGCGUUACACGUGAGUUAGCGACGCGCGAGGGAAUUCGAUGGUGGUGGUGGUGUAGAAGUUAGGUUAGUAUUAUACAUAGACAUCUAUGGUAUAAUUACAGGCUCUCUAAUUUUUUAUUUUUUCGCCAGUCCAGAGCUAUCAAUAUAGACACAACCAGACAACCAACUUUGAAGGUACUAAAAUUUUAGACAUAUUACAAACCCAUGAGAGUGAUGCCCCACAUUUGAGGAUGUUACUUUUCACAAGUAUAGGAACCAAUAUUUAGUAGGUAUGAAUAAAUAUAUAAAUAUAAUAUAAUAUAAAUAUACAUAAAAAUAAAUUUAGAUUUACCUUAUCAAUUUAAUAGAUGUUCGUUUGUCGUAUCGGUAUAUACAGAUGUAUUAUGUAUUUAUAAUAUAGUGUAGGUAAACCUAAUAAGUAUAUAAAAUAAAUUGCCGCAGUUUGUAGAAUGUAUCUUAUCGGUUUUGCCACACUUUACAUGUCGACUUUUAGAAAAAGGUAGCAGAUCCUAAACAGGUAUCCUUGAUAUUAUGUGACACACUUAGAAAAAAAAUAUUAGCAAAUCACUAUUUACUUAAAACUAAUUUUGAUUGGCAUGAACUAUUGUUCAUCAUGGUGUUCUCGGUUAUAUAAAUUACCAAUAAACUAGUGAGCAGCUCCGACUAUUGCUUAUUGGUUUGGCCGGUGUAAACCAACAAUUUUUUAUGAACCCACAUUACACAUAGCCCCUAACACCGUAUAAAAUUUGUCCGUAGGUACGACGAAAAGUGGGAUGCUAGACGGGUUCUUUGAAGUGACCAGACCACGGGUGUAGUAGGUACAACGUCACGACGGGAAAUGGAAAACUCCUACAAAAGUUAGCAAUCUUCUACAUUUACAUAGUGUUAACUUCUACAAAAGAUAGAUUUUUUUAAUUUAGUAAAAUUAGUAAAUAGUCGGGAAUAAUAAAUUUAUUCAAUUUGUUCUGCAAUUAUUGGUAUGGAUGCUAUAAGCCUUUUAUUUCUGAGUGGCGGAAAAAAGAGGAAGAUAUUGUUAUAUUUCCAUAUAUUCCAUGUACGUAUCGAAAUGUUCGAGAAUUUCCGAUACGAUGCGAUACGAUAAGAUUAUAUUAAUAUGUUUACUAAAUUGUACUUUUGUUAUUAUUUUAAAUGAUGAUUUUAAUAUAUUAUCUUUAAAAUAAUGAAAACAUAUAAUAUAUACAAACUAAAAGGACCUACCGUAGUAGGUAUGUAAGAAAUGUUGCAAUAUGAAAUAAGCCAUUACCUAACCCAAACAUAAAAAUAUAGAAAGGUCUGGGUAGGAGAUUACACCAUCUAUUUUGGGCAGGUUAAAAGGGACUAUGUAGGAGUUUACACUAUGUUUUAAGUUCAGAUAAAAAUAUAAUUUUUGUACGAAUUUACAUGUAUUAUAUACAAAUUAAGCGUACAACGGGUUUGCAAGCAACGCACUUUAAUGCGGCUGUGUAGUUACACAACCGAUUUUGAUAAGAUUAUGCUCAUGUGUGUGAUUUGGUCCAACUUAAAUAUAGGAUAGUUUUCAUCCCGAUUAAGUAACCCAUUGUUUCUUAAAAUACGGUUUUAAAGUAUUUUUAGUACAAAAAUCGAAUUAUUUUUGUUAAUUUAUGAUACGUUUUCUUGGUAACAAAGAUGAAGAAAAUAAACUGUAAUAAUAUGUAUAUAAAGACGGACAUACUUUUCCCGUAGGUGAGAAGUUGGGAAGGUACAGGGGAAAUUUAUUAUGUAUCUUGUACCCAAAUAUUGACCAUUACUAAAGUACUCAAAUAGUACAGUAAAAAAUACUAUUUCAUUAAAUUUAGGGGCUUCAAUAUAUUUUCAUAUCUUAUUUAUUUAUAAAAAUCAGACACGCAGAAACGCAUGACCAGUACAGUUAGUAGUAUAUAUAGUUAAUACUUAAUAAGUAUAUCAAAUAAAUUGACGCAGUUUAUAUAAUCUUAAAUUUUCUUUUGCCACAGUUUACAUAUCGACUUUAAAAAAAAGAAAUAUUUUACCGCAGUUUACACAUAGCCUAACCACGUAUAAACUGUCCCCAUUUAUCCGCAGUCUUUACAUUUUGUCCACCAUUAUUUUAUAUAUUCAUUUUACUCGAAUCAGAAUAAAAUGAAUUACUAAAAUACCAAUAAUUAAAUAGCCAUAUUUAUUAAUAGUAGUUAACCACUAUAAACAUUUGAAAUCGAAAUGAAUCAACAAGAAUCAAAUAANAAUUAAUUUAUCCAUACUUUUCUUAGCUGUACAUUUAGGAUUGUAUCUAUGAUCUUCAUUUAAAAUUGAAAGGAUACUAUUUAGAAUUAUGCUGAUAAAAUAUUUCCUUCCUUUGUAAGAAGUACUGACAUUUUUCAAUAUUUAUAAAUCAACUAAACUAACCCUUUUCAGAAUACAAAUUUAUUGAGAAAAAAAAAUUCCAUACUUCAUUAUAAAGAAAUAUAUACUUAUGGCUAUUUUUUGUUCAUUCUAAAAUAAUUUUUUGACUGAAAUCAGUACAAUGUGUUGUUUUUUUAAAUUUAAAAAUCAAUAACAGACAAUGUCAAUUUAAAAUCUUAAAAUUCCUAAAUUAUUUCAAUUUAAAUUAGUUGAAUUAUAGUAAAUAUGAUAAAUAAAAUGUCCUUAAAUCAAAUCAAUCAUUUAUUAAAUAUAAUAAAAAUGUAUUCAUAUUCUUUAGAUGGUUUGUACAUGAGUUGGUAUUUUUAUAUUAGAUUUAUACGAAAAUAUUAUAUAUUAGGAGACAGACAAUUGAGACAAUUUUAAUUUGGUCGCAUGAGUGUUAUUGCUAUAAUUUUUUGAUACAUAAAAUUAUAAUUAUUAUACAAUACUCACUAGUGUUUGAUCAUUUACGUAUUGAAUUCUUGUUUGUUUUCAUCUUAGAUAUCACCUGAGAGUCCUUUUCACUUUUGGUGUCUGUUAUUAUCCAUUAAAAAUUAAAUAAAUAAAUGACUUUUUAUAUACAUAAUACUUAUGAAUCAGUUAAACAAUAAGAGUUAAUAAUUAUUAGCUUUUAUAUAGUAUAUAUUAUAAUACUUAUAUAAAAGUACUAAAAUAUGAGUUAAUAUAUAUAUUAAUAAUAAUUUUGUACGAGAAUAAUGUAAAAACAACAAACCUAUUUGGAGACCAAUUGAGAAAUAUGAUAUAAAAGGUAUUAUACAUGAAAUCCAUUGAUUAAAACAUCACAUCAACACUUGUUGAUAAAAUUUAUCUUUGUUUAAUUGUUUAAUAUUAACGUGUAAGAAUGUUUGAACCAAUGCAUUUGUAAGUAUUACAUACAAAAUUAGAUAUAUGACCUUAAUUUAAAAUGAAAUGAAUAUUUAUACUCAUAAUACCAUAUAAUAGAUGACCUAAUUGAUUAAUUUCACAUAUAAUAUUUUUUUUCAUGUUUGGGUAAUACAAUUUAUAUAAAUAUAGAAAUUAAUAUCAAAUUCUAUUAUUAUAUAGAAUAUUUAUGUAGACAAAUAUCUAAAAACAAUAAUCUAUUUUGUGACCUUUUAGGAAAUAUGGGUACAAUUGUCUUAUAAUCUGAUUAUACUAAUUUAUUAAGACAUCAAUAAAUAGAUCAAUUUUCUAAUACUUUAACUAAUUAAAAUUGAAAUAGUUAAAGUAUACAUUUAAGACUUUCAUAAUAAGUUGACAUAAGGUUUUAUUGAAUUGCAAAUAUUAUAGAAUGAACAUAAAAUAGCUAAUAGUGUAUUUUUCUUUAUAAUGAUAUAUGAUACUAAAUUAUAUUUCUCUAGUAAAUGGAAAUACUAUAACGCGUAAGUUGAUUAAUAAACAUAGAAAAAUAUUUAUACUUUUCAAUAAUACAAGAAAUAUUAUAUCAACAUAAUCCUUAUUUAGAAAUCUGGUAUAAUAUAAACAUAUAAAAAUGAUUGUACCCAUACAUUUUUAACUAAUAAAUAUUAUAUUGGAUCUUUGAUCUUCAUUUCCAAAUUAAUAAAUAAAUGAAGAGCUAUACACAUAAUACUAUACAAGAGAUGUUAUAAUGAAUGUAUUUCAUAUAUAAUAAUUAAAAACCAGUAAAACAAUACUUGUUUAUAAGUAUUAACUAGUAUUAUUAUAUUUACAACCAAUAAUAUGAUUAUACUGAAAAUAUGACAUACUAGACUUAAUUACUUUAAAAAUUUAGUUUGAAUACAUCUCAUUAAACUUGGUUUAAUGAGAUGUAUUCCAGUUACCAAUUUGUAGAUACCAAGUAUAUGGAAAAAGGUUAAUUACAAUGUCCUUAAUUCAUAUUAAUCCAUUUUUAAGAAGUUUGUACUCAUGUUUCUCAAAUGGUCUCCAAUUGAGUUAGUGUUUUUAGAUUAUUUUCCUAUAUAAAUAUUAUAUAUACAUUGAUAAUUUUACGAAUAUUUUUAAACAUAUUUCAGGACACAGACAAUUGAGACAAUUUUAAUUUGGUCGCAUGAGUGUUAUUGCUAUAAUUUUUUGAUACAUAAAAUUAUAAUUAUUAUACAAUACUCACUAGUGUUUGAUCAUUUACGUAUUGAAUUCUUGUUUGUUUUCAUCUUAGAUAUCACCUGAGAGUCCUUUUCACUUUUGGUGUCUGUUAUUAUCCAUUAAAAAUUAAAUAAAUAAAUGACUUUUUAUAUACAUAAUACUUAUGAAUCAGUUAAACAAUAAGAGUUAAUAAUUAUUAGCUUUUAUAUAGUAUAUAUUAUAAUACUUAUAUAAAAGUACUAAAAUAUGAGUUAAUAUAUAUAUUAAUAAUAAUUUUGUACGAGAAUAAUGUAAAAACAACAAACCUAUUUGGAGACCAAUUGAGAAAUAUGAUAUAAAAGGUAUUAUACAUGAAAUCCAUUGAUUAAAACAUCACAUCAACACUUGUUGAUAAAAUUUAUCUUUGUUUAAUUGUUUAAUAUUAACGUGUAAGAAUGUUUGAACCAAUGCAUUUGUAAGUAUUACAUACAAAAUUAGAUAUAUGACCUUAAUUUAAAAUGAAAUGAAUAUUUAUACUCAUAAUACCAUAUAAUAGAUGACCUAAUUGAUUAAUUUCACAUAUAAUAUUUUUUUUUCAUGUUUGGGUAAUACAAUUUAUAUAAAUAUAGAAAUUAAUAUCAAAUUCUAUUAUUAUAUAGAAUAUUUAUGUAGACAAAUAUCUAAAAACAAUAAUCUAUUUUGUGACCUUUUAGGAAAUAUGGGUACAAUUGUCUUAUAAUCUGAUUAUACUAAUUUAUUAAGACAUCAAUAAAUAGAUAAAUUUUCUAAUACUUUAACUAAUUAAAAUUGAAAUAGUUAAAGUAUACAUUUAAGACUUUCAUAAUAUGUUGACAUAAGGUUUUAUUGAAUUGCAAAUAUUAUAGAAUGAACAUAAAAUAGCUAAUAGUGUAUUUUUCUUUAUAAUGAUAUAUGAUAUUAAAUUCUUUUUCNAAAUUUCUAAUACUUUAACUAAUUAAAAUUGAAAUAGUUAAAGUAUACAUUUAAGACUUUCAUAAUAAGUUGACAUAAGGUUUUAUUGAAUUGCAAAUAUUAUAGAAUGAACAUAAAAUACCUAAUAGUGUAUUUUUCUUUAUAAUGAUAUAUGAUACUAAAUUAUAUUUCUCUAGUAAAUGGAAAUACUAUAACGCGUAAGUUGAUUAAUAAACAUAAAAAAAUAUUUAUACUUUUCAAUAAUACAAGAAAUAUUAUAUCAACAUAAUCCUUAUUUAGAAAUCUGGUAUAAUAUAAACAUAUAAAAAUGAUUGUACCCAUACAUUUUUAACUAAUAAAUAUUAUAUUGGAUCUUUGAUCUUCAUUUCCAAAUUAAAAAAUAAAUGGAGAAAUAUACACAUAAUACUAUACAAGAGAUGUUAUAAUUAAUGUAUUUCAUAUAUAAUAAUUAAAAACCAGUAAAACAAUACUUGUUUAUAAGUAUUAACUAGUAUUAUUAUAUUUACAACCAAUAAUAUGAUUAUACUGAAAAUAUGACAUACUAGACUUAAUUACUUUAAAAAUUUAGUUUGAAUACAUCUCAUUAAACUUGGUUUAAUGAGAUGUAUUCCAGUUACCAAUUUGUAGAUACCAAGUAUAUGGAAAAAGGUUAAUUACAAUGUCCUUAAUUCAUAUUAAUCCCUUUUUAAGAAGUUUGUACUCAUGUUUCUCAAAUGGUCUCCAAUUGAGUUAGUGUUUUUAGAUUAUUUUCCUAUAUAAAUAUUAUAUAUACAUUGAUAAUUUUACGAAUAUUUUUAAACAUAUUUCAGGAAUUAUUUUUUAUAGAUACUAAAAGUAUAGAAAACGCUGAUAAAUUGAUUUAACACAUAGAAAUAUACACAUUAAACAAAUUAGGAAAUUAUACAAUUUUAAACAUGUCAAGAAAACAUAUUUAACCGUGUUUAUUCAAUGUUAAUGGCUUAUAAUCUAUAUCUAUCAAUUCAUUUAACCAAAUAUGUAGGUUUUAUAUAUGAAAAUAAUGGCAAAAAACUAAUACAUUUAGAGACAGUAAUUUUUACAAUAAUUUACCUAAUUAAAAUUGAUAUUAUUAAGAUGUAAUUUUGAGAUUUUCAAAGCAAUUUUUUUUAUUGGGAUUUAUAGAUUUGUAAAUAUUGUUUUUCGAUAUUUAUAAUAAUUUUGCAAUUAUAAGAACGUUUAUGUGAUAUUUAAUUACCUAUUAGUAUUAAACUAUAAUUUUAGAGUCCAGAAAUAUUUAUUUAUUGAAAUCAUGUAUUAGAUCAAUGAAUUUAUGGUGAUUGUCUUAAUUUCCUGUAAAAAAUUAGUUUGAAUACAUCAUAAUAAACAUGUUCUGUGUACCAAUAUUUGUAGAUAUUAAUUAUAUAGUUAAUUGCAGAUAAAUUGAUAUGACACAUAAAUAUAUACACAUCAAAAACAAUAAGAAAUUAUGAAAGUAUAAUAAUAUCAUUGAAAACCAAUAUACCUGUGUAGAUAAAUAUUUUUUUGUAUAUAAGGUACAUUUAACCAGUGUUAUUCUCCUAAUAUAUAUAAUAUUUAUUUAUAUGAACAAAUAUAUAUAUAUAUAUAUAUAUAAAUAUGAUAUCUAUAUUUUAUUUGAGAAUAUGAGUACAAUAUUCUUUAAAUAUGAUUACACGAAUUUAGGACAUUAAUACAAAUCAUUUUCACAAUAAUUUAACUAAUAUAUAUUUGAUUUUAAAAAGGCACAAUUUUAGAAUUUUCAUAAUUAAUUGACGAUUAUAAAAUUUGAUAUUACUUUUUUUGUCAUGAAAAUUGUAUUACUUAAAAGCCGAAGUAAGUUCAUAUAUAAAAUAAAUUAAUUUAUCCAUACUUUUCUUAGCUGUACAUUUAGGAUUGUAUCUAUGAUCUUCAUUUAAAAUUGAAAGGAUACUAUUUAGAAUUAUGCUGAUAAAAUAUUUCCUUCCUUUGUAAGAAGUACUGACAUUUUUCAAUAUUUAUAAAUCAACUAAACUAACCCUUUUCAGAAUACAAAUUUAUUGAGAAAAAAAAAUUCCAUACUUCAUUAUAAAGAAAUAUAUACUUAUGGCUAUUUUUUGUUCAUUCUAAAAUAAUUUUUUGAUUGAAAUCAGUACAAUGUGUUGUUUUUUUUAAAUUUAAAAAUCAAUAACAGACAAUGUCAAUUUAAAAUCUUAAAAUUCCCAAAUUAUUUCAAUUUAAAUUAGUUGAANCUUUAAAUAUGAUUACACAAAUUUAGGACAUUAAUACAAAUCAUUUUCACAAUAAUUUAACUAAUAUAUAUUUGAUUUUAAAAAGGCACAAUUU
This 7867-nucleotide long non-coding RNA is filed under the name Cinara cedri. Lineage: Eukaryota; Metazoa; Arthropoda; Insecta; Hemiptera; Aphididae. The record is from RNAcentral.